GGCUAGCUGCGAACCCCAGGCCGCCUACACUGGCGGGCCCAGAGGUCUGCCCCUGCAGCCAUUCAAACAGACUCUCUGCCGCGCGCUGCGCUGCGCGUGUGCCAUAGUGUGGGGGAAGGCCGUGUAGGGAGGGGCCAACAUUGCCUGAAGAGGCCGUCAGGGUGUUCACAUAUGCUGCUGCCCCCUCCACGCCCCGUUGCCCCGCCUG
Molecule: long non-coding RNA, 208 nt
Filed under: Coccomyxa subellipsoidea
Lineage: Eukaryota; Viridiplantae; Chlorophyta; Trebouxiophyceae; Coccomyxaceae
Description: long non-coding RNA (CSUB_LNC000351)
Source: RNAcentral